CACGGGGGGCGCAAGCGUUAUUCGGAAUUAUUGGGCGUAAAGGGCGCGUAGGCGGUCUUGUCGGUCAGAUGUGAAAGCCCGGGGCUCAACCCCGGACGUGCAUUUGAAACAGCAAGACUUGAGUACGGGAGAGGAAAGCGGAAUUCCUGGUGUAGAGGUGAAAUUCGUAGAUAUCAGGAGGAACACCGAUGGCGAAGGCAGCUUUCUGGACCGAUACUGACGCUGAGGCGCGAAGGCGUGGGGAGCGAACAGGAUUAGAUACCCGCGUA
RNAcentral lists this ribosomal RNA (269 nucleotides) under uncultured prokaryote. RNAcentral describes it as "partial 16S ribosomal RNA". It matches the Rfam family "Bacterial small subunit ribosomal RNA", at positions 524 to 792 of the family's 1533-position model. The record is from RNAcentral.